UACGUAGGUGGCGAGCGUUAUCCGGAAUGAUUGGGCGUAAAGGGUGCGUAGGUGGCAGAUCAAGUCUGGAGUAAAAGGUAUGGGCUCAACCCGUACUGGCUCUGGAAACUGAUCAGCUAGAGAACAGAAGAGGACGGCGGAACUCCAUGUGUAGCGGUAAAAUGCGUAGAUAUAUGGAAGAACACCGGUGGCGAAGGCGGCCGUCUGGCCUGGAUUCUGACACUGAAGCACGAAAGCGUGGGGAGCAAAUAGG
This 253-nucleotide ribosomal RNA is filed under the name Holdemanella biformis DSM 3989. Its description in RNAcentral is "partial 16S ribosomal RNA". It matches the Rfam family "Bacterial small subunit ribosomal RNA", at positions 524 to 776 of the family's 1533-position model. The record is from RNAcentral. Lineage: Bacteria; Bacillati; Bacillota; Erysipelotrichia; Erysipelotrichales; Erysipelotrichaceae.